This 776-nucleotide ribosomal RNA is filed under the name uncultured Neocallimastigales. RNAcentral describes it as "partial large subunit ribosomal RNA". It matches the Rfam family "Eukaryotic large subunit ribosomal RNA", at positions 22 to 616 of the family's 3401-position model. The record is from RNAcentral. Lineage: Eukaryota; Fungi; Neocallimastigomycota; Neocallimastigomycetes; Neocallimastigales.
GUACACGCUGUGACUCAGCAUAUCAAUAAGCGGAGGAAAAGAAACUAACAAGGAUUCCCUUAGUAACGGCGAGUGAAGCGGGAAGAGCUCAAAUUUGAAAUCUUCAAGGUUUUACCUUGACGAAUUGUAGUUUAAAGAAGUGUUUUCUGUUGAAGUUUUGGUAAAAGUUCUUUGGAAUAGGACAUCAUAGAGGGUGAGAAUCCCGUAUUUGACCUUUACUUUCUAACUUUGUGAUACACUUUCAAAGAGUCGGAUUGUUUGGGAAUGCAGUCCAAAAUGGGUGGUAAAUUUCAUCUAAAGCUAAAUAUUGGCGAGAGACCGAUAGCGAACAAGUACCGUGAGGGAAAGAUGAAAAGAACUUUGAAAAGAGAGUUAAACAGUACGUGAAAUUGUCAAAAGGGAAGCGUUUGACACCAGUGUUGUUUUUCUGAAAAUCAAUUAAAGAACUGUUUAUGCUAAGUUGUUUAGACUUUAUCAGCUAACUGUUUAGUUUUGAGCUUUUCUUUAAUGCACUUUUCAGUUAACAAGUCAACAUCAAUUUCUUUUGCUGUAAAAAAGCUUGAGGAAGGUGGCUUGAGAUUCGUCUUAAGUGUUUAUAGCCUCUUGCCUAUGCAGUCGGAGAGAUUGAGGUCUGCAGCGUAGAUCCUUCGGGGCUAAAUGCAUUUGUGCUAAGUUAUAGCAUUUUAUAGACAACUUGUUGACUAUGAUUUGUCUUGUAGCUUACUCGCUUAUGCUAUUUUACCUACGCUUAGGAUGUUGAGCGCAUGUCUCUCUCU